RNAcentral lists this ribosomal RNA (1385 nucleotides) under uncultured bacterium. RNAcentral's name for it is "bacterial SSU rRNA". It matches the Rfam family "Bacterial small subunit ribosomal RNA". The record is from RNAcentral.
AAUUCGCCCUUAGAGUUUGAUCCUGGCUCAGGAUGAACGCUAGCGGCAGGCUUAACACAUGCAAGUCGAGGGGCAGCGCUGGGUGGCAACACCCUGGCGGCGACCGGCGGAAGGGUGCGUAACACGUGAGCAACUUGCCCGUAUCCGGGACAUAACCGGCGGAAACGCCGACUAAUUUCCCAUAACAGCGGGGGCCGCAUGGCCCUCGUUUGAAAGACACGUCGGAUGCGGAUGGGCUCGCGGGACAUUAGCUGGUUGGAGUGGUAACGGCACACCAAGGCUACGAUGUCUAGGGGUUCUGAGAGGAAGGUCCCCCACACUGGAACUGAGAUACGGUCCAGACUCCUACGGGAGGCAGCAGUGGGGAAUAUUGGGCAAUGGGCGAAAGCCUGACCCAGCAACGCCGCGUGAGGGAAGAAGGGUUUCGGCUCGUAAACCUCUGUCCUAUGGGACGAAUGAGAUGACGGUACCAUAGGAGGAAGCCCCGGCUAACUACGUGCCAGCAGCCGCGGUAAUACGUAGGGGGCGAGCGUUGUCCGGAAUGAUUGGGCGUAAAGGGCGCGUAGGCGGCCUGAUAAGUCUGGAGUGAAAGUCCUGCUUUCAAGGUGGGAAUUGCUUUGGAUACUGUCGGGCUGGAGUGCAGGAGAGGAAAGUGGAAUUCCCAGUGUAGCGGUGAAAUGCGCAGAUAUUGGGAAGAACACCAGUGGCGAAGGCGGCUUUCUAGGCCACGACUGACGCUGAGGCGCGAAAGCUAGGGGAGCAAACAGGAUUAGAUACCCUGGUAGUCCUAGCCGUAAACGACGAAUACUAAGGUGUGGGGGAGUAAUCUCUUCCGUGCCGCAGCUAACGCAUUAAGUAUUCCGCCUGGGGAGUACGGCCGCAAGGCUAAAACUCAAAGGAAUUGACGGGGACCCGCACAAGCAGCGGAGCAUGUGGCUUAAUUCGAAGCAACGCGAAGAACCUUACCUGGGCUUGACAUAUAGGUGAAGCCGUGGAAACACGGUGGCCGAAAGGAGCCUAUACAGGUGGUGCAUGGCUGUCGUCAGCUCGUGUCGUGAGAUGUUAGGUUAAGUCCUGCAACGAGCGCAACCCUUGUCGUAUGUUACCAGCAUUCAGUUGGGGACUCAUACGAGACUGCCGGCGUCAAGCCGGAGGAAGGUGGGGACGACGUCAAGUCAUCAUGCCCCUUAUGUCCAGGGCUGCACACGUGCUACAUUGGCCGGUACAACGGGCUGCGAACUCGCGAGAGUAAGCGAAUCCCUUAAAGCCGGUCCUAGUUCGGAUUGGAGGCUGCAACCCGCCUCCAUGAAGUCGGAGUUGCUAGUAAUCGCGGAUCAGCAUGCCGCGGUGAAUACGUUCCCGGGUCUUGUACACACCGCCCGUCA